CUAAACAAAAGGGACUGAAACUUGAUGAUUUUGCUUGCCAAGUCCAACCGCUAAACCUUCUGAGAUUUUCUUUGCUAAAACAAAUGGAUUGCUUGAAGCAAUACCUGUAGCUGAGUCACCGAAUCCUCAAGAAGUAACCUUGGGGUCCCUGGCCUACAGCCACCUGAACAGGUUGUCAGAGCAAACAAGUGUCCCUGCACCUCAGAAGUCUGAGGGUGAUCGUCUUAUGGAAACCAUAGUGACGGAAACAGUGUUUGCCUGUGAA
Neopsephotus bourkii (Bourke's parrot) is the source of this 265-nucleotide long non-coding RNA. RefSeq lists it as uncharacterized. The transcript has 3 exons. The record is from RefSeq and is a predicted model, not a curated record. NCBI's taxonomy places the organism in Eukaryota, Metazoa, Chordata, Aves, Psittaciformes, Psittacidae.